This 85-nucleotide transfer RNA is filed under the name Felis catus (domestic cat). It matches the Rfam family "tRNA". Rfam says of the family: Transfer RNA (tRNA) molecules are approximately 80 nucleotides in length. Their secondary structure includes four short double-helical elements and three loops (D, anti-codon, and T loops). Lineage: Eukaryota; Metazoa; Chordata; Mammalia; Carnivora; Felidae. The record is from Rfam by way of RNAcentral.
CCCUGGAUGGCUCAGUCGGUUAAGCAUCCGACUUCAGCUCAGGUCAUGCUCUCACAGUUUGUGGGUUCGAGCCCCACUUCAGGGU